UAGAGUUUGAUCAUGGCUCAGGAUGAACGCUAGCGGCAGGCUUAACACAUGCAAGUCGAAGGGCAUCGCGGGGAGUGCUUGCACUCCCUGGCGGCGACUGGCGCACGGGUGAGUAACACGUAUGCAACCUGCCCUCCACAGGGGGACAACCUUCCGAAAGGGAGGCUAAUCCCGCGUAAAUCUCGAUGGGGCAUCCCAUUGAGAGGAAAGCUUCGGCGGUGGAGGAUGGGCAUGCGGCGCAUUAGCUAGUCGGCGGGGUAACGGCCCACCGAGGCGACGAUGCGUAGGGGUUCUGAGAGGAAGGUCCCCCACACUGGUACUGAGACACGGACCAGACUCCUACGGGAGGCAGCAGUGAGGAAUAUUGGUCAAUGGGCGGGAGCCUGAACCAGCCAAGUCGCGUGAGGGAUGACGGUCCUACGGAUUGUAAACCUCUUUUGCCGGGGAGCAAGCGUGCGUUCGUGAACGCGCGUCGAGAGUACCCGGAGAAAAAGCAUCGGCUAACUCCGUGCCAGCAGCCGCGGUAAUACGGAGGAUGCGAGCGUUAUCCGGAUUUAUUGGGUUUAAAGGGUGCGUAGGCGGGAUGCCAAGUCAGCGGUAAAAAAGCGGUGCUCAACGCCGUCGAGCCGUUGAAACUGGCGUUCUUGAGUGGGCGAGAAGUAUGCGGAAUGCGUGGUGUAGCGGUGAAAUGCAUAGAUAUCACGCAGAACUCCGAUUGCGAAGGCAGCAUACCGGCGCCCUACUGACGCUGAGGCACGAAAGUGUGGGUAUCGAACAGGAUUAGAUACCCUGGUAGUCCACACAGUAAACGAUGAAUACUAAUUGUUCGGGGAGAAUGAUCCCUGAGUGAUACAGCGAAAGCGUUAAGUAUUCCACCUGGGGAGUACGCCGGCAACGGUGAAACUCAAAGGAAUUGACGGGGGCCCGCACAAGCGGAGGAACAUGUGGUUUAAUUCGAUGAUACGCGAGGAACCUUACCCGGGCUCAAACGACACAGGAAUACUUUUGAAAGGAGGUAGCUCUACGGAGUCUGUGUCGAGGUGCUGCAUGGUUGUCGUCAGCUCGUGCCGUGAGGUGUCGGCUUAAGUGCCAUAACGAGCGCAACCCCCAUCGCCAGUUACCAGCAAGUCAAGUUGGGGACUCUGGCGAGACUGCCGGCGCAAGCUGUGAGGAAGGCGGGGAUGACGUCAAAUCAGCACGGCCCUUACGUCCGGGGCGACACACGUGUUACAAUGGCAGGUACAGAGAGAAGCAAUGCGGCGACGCAAAGCGGAACUUGAAAGCCUGUCUCAGUUCGGAUUGGAGUCUGCAACUCGACUCCAUGAAGCUGGAUUCGCUAGUAAUCGCGCAUCAGCCAUGGCGCGGUGAAUACGUUCCCGGGCCUUGUACACACCGCCCGUCAAGCCAUGGAAGCCGGGAGUGCCUGAAGUGAGCAACCGCAAGGAGCGCCCUAAGGUAAAACUGGUGACUGGGGCUAAGUCGUAACAAGGUAGCCGUA
RNAcentral lists this ribosomal RNA (1498 nucleotides) under uncultured bacterium. Its description in RNAcentral is "16S ribosomal RNA". It matches the Rfam family "Bacterial small subunit ribosomal RNA". The record is from RNAcentral.